AAGUCGUAACAAGGUUUCCGUAGGUGAACCUGCGGAAGGAUCAUUCACAAUAUUCACAAUAUUUCAAUUUUUUUUUCUUUUUUCGUUGUUUUGUAUAUAUCGAAAUGAUAUGACAAAACAAUGGAGGGAAAACAUAAUUUUUUCGUUGUUUUGUUUUUAUGACAAACAAUGAUGGGUAAAGCGUAAGCUAGCCAAUUUAUGUGUACUGUAUUCAGGCUGAUUUUUGUUUUGAAAAAAACAACCCGCCUGAUUUAAUUUCUUAUAUUAAUCUAUAACGAAAUUUUAUUUUGAAACAAAUUAAUAUUUUGAUGUAAUUAAAAUUUAAAUAACAACUUUCAACAAUGGAUCUCUUGGCUCUC
Molecule: unclassified non-coding RNA, 359 nt
Filed under: fungal sp.
Lineage: Eukaryota; Fungi
Description: partial internal transcribed spacer region
Rfam family: Eukaryotic small subunit ribosomal RNA (bases 1-46)
Source: RNAcentral